RNAcentral lists this ribosomal RNA (484 nucleotides) under uncultured bacterium. RNAcentral describes it as "partial 16S ribosomal RNA". It matches the Rfam family "Bacterial small subunit ribosomal RNA", at positions 28 to 507 of the family's 1533-position model. The record is from RNAcentral.
GUUGAACGCUGGCGGCAGGCCUAACACAUGCAAGUCGAGCGGAUGAAGGGAGCUUGCUCCUGGAUUCAGCGGCGGACGGGUGAGUAAUGCCUAGGAAUCUGCCUGGUAGUGGGGGAUAACGUCCGGAAACGGGCGCUAAUGCCGCAUACGUCCUGAGGGAGAAAGUGGGGGAUCUUCGGACCUCACGCUAUCAGAUGAGCCUAGGUCGGAUUAGCUAGUUGGUGGGGUAAAGGCCUACCAAGGCGACGAUCCGUAACUGGUCUGAGAGGAUGAUCAGUCACACUGGAACUGAGACACGGUCCAGACUCCUACGGGAGGCAGCAGUGGGGAAUAUUGGACAAUGGGCGAAAGCCUGAUCCAGCCAUGCCGCGUGUGUGAAGAAGGUCUUCGGAUUGUAAAGCACUUUAAGUUGGGAGGAAGGGCAGUAAGUUAAUACCUUGCUGUUUUGACGUUACCAACAGAAUAAGCACCGGCUAACUUCGUG